UACGUAGGUGGCGAGCGUUAUCCGGAAUUAUUGGGCGUAAAGAGCGCGCAGGUGGUUGAUUAAGUCUGAUGUGAAAGCCCACGGCUUAACCGUGGAGGGUCAUUGGAAACUGGUCGACUUGAGUGCAGAAGAGGGAAGUGGAAUUCCAUGUGUAGCGGUGAAAUGCGUAGAGAUGUGGAGGAACACCGAUGGCGAAGGCAGCCCCCUGGGUUAACACUGACGCUCAGGCACGAAAGCGUGGGGAGCAAACAGG
RNAcentral lists this ribosomal RNA (253 nucleotides) under uncultured bacterium. RNAcentral describes it as "partial 16S ribosomal RNA". It matches the Rfam family "Bacterial small subunit ribosomal RNA", at positions 524 to 776 of the family's 1533-position model. The record is from RNAcentral.